UCCCUGGUGGCUCAGACAGUAAAGCAUCUGCCUGCAAUGCUGGAGACCUGGGUUCAAUCCCUGGGUGGGGAA
This 72-nucleotide transfer RNA is filed under the name Ovis aries (sheep). It matches the Rfam family "tRNA". Rfam says of the family: Transfer RNA (tRNA) molecules are approximately 80 nucleotides in length. Their secondary structure includes four short double-helical elements and three loops (D, anti-codon, and T loops). Lineage: Eukaryota; Metazoa; Chordata; Mammalia; Artiodactyla; Bovidae. The record is from Rfam by way of RNAcentral.